GGAAGGUCAUAGUGCAUAAUGUGUGUUUCAAUAUUUAUGUUGACUCAGAUAUAGUUAAACUACAUGUACAAGUAUGAAUUUUGAACAAAUUAUUUAGAAAGAUCAAAUAUUUUAUCUUUCGCUACACUAUGUAUGUUAUACACAUCUACCAUGGUAUUCUCAUUUCUUUGAUAUGUAUAUCAAACAUAUGUUAGAGAUUAUGGUUAUACGUUAAGCAAAUGUGCUUAGAAAAAUUGUUUCUGACAAUGUUUCAGGAGACAAAGGCAAGCAAGUGGGGUAGAUUGAUAGAAUCAUACAUGUUCCAAAAUUUAUUUUGAACAACGUAAACUUUACGAGAUACUUUGUCAGGUUAUGCAAGAACAACUUGAAUUCAUGUAGUAUAGCUUGGAUUAGAAUGUUCGGGGUCUUUUGGAUGUGUAAAUGUAUGUAUAUAUGUAAUGAUAGGACAAAUACAAUCUCUCUACUGUUACGGGCACGUGUUUUUGGAAUAAAUAAUUUUUAAAUAUUUAUUUUCUUUUUGGCUCCAAAUAUAUACAUCUUUUGCUUUCCCAAAUGAAAAGAAAAAAAAGAAUUUUGAAAUUCGGUGUGACAUCGCCUCAUGGAGCCACGUGGGAUCGGGGGUCAUCACACUUUAACUAUUUCAAAUUAUACUUAUUUGAAUUUUUGUAGAAUGUGCAUUGACUGUUUUGCAAUUAUUUGAUUUUGCGAGGACGAACUUUAUUCACUAUCGGACUCGAUUGGAUGGACUAUACUAAUAGGGAUGCAUAUGCAAAGGUAAUCUCGAAUACAUAUCUACACACCUCCAAAUAUUGAGCUAGAUAACAAUUGUAUUAAGUUUUGUUUAUUUAUCUUAUCGAGGGCUAUCGUUAACUCAGUCGACCACUGGCUGAGAUAGUGACUUGUCCUCACUUUUGUUGGUUUAGGAGUUACGAGGGAGAUGGAGUCAUGUUUCCGUUUGGCCUUGAUUAUCACGUAAGCAAGCACGAUUUACUUCCCAUUCAAAUACAAAUGCUAUCUUUGUUGUAGAAGUUGACUACUUUCAACUACGUAACUUGUAAUUUGGUAUGAGAAAUAUGUCUUUAUUCAUCCAUUGGUUUUGUGCAGGUACGAUUAGAUUGACCAUGAAAUUUCCUUGGAUGGACCACAUGAAUGCGAUGGCUUGGGGCAAGUAUAGGCCCCCUGAAGUCCAAAUCUCAAAGUAAGGUCUAAAAAUCGUGCAUUCAAUUCUAUACAUGUCUUCUCGUUAGCCGUCACUAACUUGAGUUAGAAGUUCCUUGGGUUCUUCACUGGGUGGGGCUCUCACGAUGGAUCUAGUCAACUUCUUCGUCGAGCUUCUAUAAGUCGGUACGAUUUAGUCAUUUUCAUGUGUGAUACUUUGACUAUUUCAUAUUAUACUUAUUUGCCGAACUACUCGCGAAUACAUAUAUCUCCACACCUCUAAAUAUUGAGAUAUGUAACAAUUAUAUUAAUUUUUUUAUAUUUAUCUUCUUGAGGGCUAUUGGUAACUCGGAAGGCCACCGAUCGAGAUAGUGAUCUUCACUUUUGUAGGUUUAGGAGUCACAGGAGAAAUGGAGUCAUGUUUUUGUUCGGCCUUGAUCAUAACGCAAGUAAGUACGAUUUUCUUCCUCUCCAAAUACAAAUGCUACCUCUGUUUUGAUAAUUGAUUACCAUUAACUACGUUACUUGGUAAUUUAGUAAGAGGAAUAUGUCUUUAUUCACUAUAGGUUUUGUGUAGAUACGAUUAGAUUGACCAAAAAGUUUUAUUGCAUUGGACAACGUGAAUGCAAUGCCUUGGUCUAAAGUAAAGGCCUCCUCUUAUAUAAAGAUUCACAUCUCAAAGUAAGGUCUACAAAUCGUGCAUUCAAUUCUCCAUAUAUGUCUUCUCGUGGUCAGUAACUAACUUGAGCUCGAAGUUCUCCGAAUUCCUCAAUGGGUGGGGCACUAACUGGGUCUUCAUUUGUAGGUCUCCGACUCAUGGUGGAUCUAGUUAUCUUUUUCGCGAAGCUUUUAUAAAUUGAUACGAUUUAGUUAUUGCCAUGUGUGAUACUUUGACUAUUUUAAAUUUUGCUUAUUUGAAUUUUUGUAGAAUGAGUAUUGAUUAUUUCACAAUUGUUUAGUUUUUGAGAGAACUAACUCUAUUAUCCAUUGGACUCGAUUGGAUGGACCAUGCUAAUAGGGAUGUCUAGGGCCAAGUACUCUCGAAUACAUAUAUCCAUACAUCCAAAUAUUGAGGUACUAAAAAAUGCAUUAAAAUUUUUAUAUUUAUCUUCUCGAGGGUUAUUGGUAACUUGGUCGGCUACUGACCGAGAUAGUGAUAGGUGCUCACUUUUGUAAGUUUAGGACUCAUGGGGGAGAUGUAAUCAUGUUUCCGUUCGGCGUUGAUCAUUACGUAAGUAGGUAUGAUUCUUCCCCUACAAAUAAAAAUGCUACCUUUGUUAUAAAAGUUGACUUCUUUUAACUACGUUAAUUGCUAAUAUGAUAUGAGAAAUAUGCCUUUAUUCAACCCUUGAUUGUAAAGGUACAAUUAGAUUGAUCAUGAAAUUUCAUUUGAUAGAUCACGUGAAUGGGAUGCCUAGGCCUAAGUAAAGGUCUCCUCCUAUAUAAAGAUCCACGCCUCAAAGUAAAGUUUAAUUGGGAGCGAACUAUUGAUCUCAUGAAAAUAGAUAAGGGCCAAUCACACGGGGAGAUUAGUGGCAAUGUAGGUCAAAACAUAAGCACGAUCGAUGUCCACAUCUGAAUUAUGUGAAAUGGGACUAAUGUUAAUGCACAACACAAUAUUCAGAAUGCGACAUCAUACGGAGAGUAUGCUCUGAAUGAUUUUAGUCCUAGACCAAGAAGUAACAUCACAAGUCAAAACCUAUGACAUAUGAUUCUUAUUAAGAAUCAUAUUUGUAGUUGAUUCAUCAGUCAGAAAAGAAAAACAAAACUCCUUCAAUGGCAGAACUCCAGAUGCCCAACCUAUGAUCUCAGGGAUGAGAACUAUGUUAUGACCCCUCACAUAAGACGCUCCAUUUACCCUAGCAUUAGACUGACCAAUCCUAGACAAAAACUCCUGAACUAAGGUUAAGUUGGCUCGACCCUGAUAAUUAAAGAAAUAAGACCAAUGACGAUCCUGUAACCAAGAGCUUAAGGGCAAGUGCGAAAAAUCAUUAAUAAACACAGGACGCUCACACACAAGACUGAUUAGAGAAACGAGUGUGAAACAUGUUCUCAGCCUCACGAGAAGCAAAUGUAGUGGGAUCACGUAAAGGCUGAGAGGGCCUAGAUGUGGAAGCACGCUUUCCCCUAGCCGUGGUUUUAGACUUGGGUGCCAUGGAUCUGAAAACACAUAAUCACUUAGAUCAACCCUCAUGAACCUACUAAACAAUGUACCAUGACAAUGCAUAAAUCCUAAAAAUUAACACAAAUCAUAGACUAGAUGUGAGAACAAUGUGAAAACAUGAAAAAAAUUAAGCCUAGAAUACUCAAACAUUAAAUAUAUUCAAGAAGACAUGAUGAAAAAUUGCAUAAAACAUACAAAGUUUUGGUUAAUAAUUAAGAACCCCAAAGUUAAACUAAAUCCUAGGUUCAAAUAUGAAGCAAUAACCACUAAUUAGAUGAAAUAAACAACCUAGAGUCACAAAUUACACACAAAAUAGGAAUAAUCAAGCAAAAUAAUGAAAACCCACAUUUACCGAAGUCUGGAGAGUUAAAAGCUUGAAAUCAACAAAACAAACUUGAAAAUCAUACCUUGUGAUGACGAGAAUCAAGAUUGGAGGAUGAUUUGAGAUCAAAGUUAGUAACCAAGUGGGAUUAAGGAGAAGAUAUCGAGAGUUCAGGGGAGAGAAGUAAAAGUUAGGACGGAAAUAAAGUUAGGACGGAAAGGGGCCAAAAAAAGCUAACUAGAAAUGUGAUUGCCCCUGUUUUAUGAAACUUAGGCGCUCACCAUGGGGCUCUUGGGUUGCACGAUCGAAAAAGAAGAAUAAAAGGCACUCACUAUUAGCUCUAUGGGUGCGCGCACGAUUUUUUUUUACAACUAAAAAAAUAAAACACAAAGAAAAUCAACCGAAGUUAGCAAAAUAAACUAACGUGGACGGAAUCGAAAAUGACACUUAUUGUAAGGAAUCAUAAGGAAAUAAGAUCACAUCUUUCAUAAACCAAUUUGAACAACCUAAAGUAAGCUUAUAGUAAUAACAAUGCUCUCAAGACUUUAAAUAACUAAAUCAACAAUGAGCACAAUGAACUUCAAGUAGUGUGUGUUUGGGAGACAACACAUAUAGCAUUGAGUAGGCAAGAAUCAUGGAGAAAAAAGAAUCACGCCCUUUUUCUAAUGCAUCCACAUGCAAUGAGAAUUCAAACAAAACAACUGUCCAUUUGUCAAGAGAGAAGAUAGAAGAAUCUCUCCCUCAAUGAAAAAACCACCUUAUAUCAAGAAUUGAACUCUUUAUGCGCUUUCAUAGGUGGCUUUCACAUAACUGAGCAUGAUAGCCUUCUUCACGCCUUAAUGCCCUUUGUUCAAGGUGGAAAUUUAAAUUUCCGGGCGUGGUAUCUUUCACUCUUUACCCAAAGGUACCCUUUUCCUCUGGCUAUAUUUAUUUUCUUCGCACACAAUGGAGGGGAGGAAAUAAAAAAAAAAAAUAAAGUAGAGAAUGAGAAAAUGACAAGUUACUAUAAUUGGUCAAUCUCAAAGCACAUUGUAGUAGGAGAAUAUAAGGGCAACAAAUAUCUUGACAAUUCAUGAAUAUAACAAUAACUAUUGAUCUAUCGCUAGUACAUAAAGUGCUUGAACGAAAAAAGCAAUCACCGAGAUUAUGAAAUCAAAGUAUCAAGAUUAUCGAAAUCACCAAAGUUUCACAUUAAACUGAUCAAAGCAAUGCAUGAAUGAGUGAACACAACAUAUAAUCAAGCACAUGAACUUUCUAAGUGAGCGUCCAAGAAUAUCAUCCAAUUUUUUUUGUUUGCAUUAAAGAAAAAUUAAGACAAAGUUAGGUAAGGGCGCACACACCUACUGAAUUUCGAAGGUAAUCAAAGCUGAAGUAAUCAAGAGAUUUUAUAAAAAGAUCUUCCUUUUAAUUUUCUGUAGGAACAUAAUCGAGUGAAAUAAUUUGAUCCACGAAUAAAGUGAUGACGAAUGUCAAUGUGUUUAGUGCAUGAGUGUUGGACAAGGUUCUUGGAAUUAUUGAUCGCACUCGUGUUGUAGAUUACUUGAAGGGUCUUCUUCGCAUGAAUUUCGUGCAAGAUUACUUGAAGGGCUUGAACUUUACUAAUUAUAAUUUUAACAUCCACCAUUAGGUUAUUGUAAGGGGGAUAAAAUUCCAAGUACAAUCUUUGACCGAGUUAGGGCAGACACUGCUACUUGGCUGUCGAUAUAUAGCAGGCUCCGCGGGGGUCUUUGCGCCGGAACUUUGUCGAAGACACAACAUCAGCCCGGAGCUUUGUCGAAGACACAACAUCAGCUUUGGCCUAGCUAAGGCAGACACCGCGUCCGGGCUAUAUAGCUUUAUAGCAAGCUCGGUAGGAUCGCUGCGCCGAAACUUGGUCGAGACGUAAUAGUCGGCGAGAUCCCAAGGUACAUCAGGGGACAGAAGGUGACUUGCACAACAAGAUUUUCUCUGACAGCCCCCACGCUUGGAUUGAGAAGUUGACAACAUAAUGACUAGCUACCAACCAAGCCUUAGGCACAUGGCUACGUCAGUCGCUGAGCUGCAGUUUGUCUAGUGACAUGACAGUUGACGAGUCCCGGCACACGCCGAAUUGCUAUACAAGGCCAACCUUAGUUUUUUAAAGUUAUGCAAUUUCAGCUAUUGUAAGCUUAUACACUCUCUCUCUACAUAUGCU
Molecule: long non-coding RNA, 5817 nt
Filed under: Actinidia chinensis (golden kiwifruit)
Lineage: Eukaryota; Viridiplantae; Streptophyta; Magnoliopsida; Ericales; Actinidiaceae
Description: long non-coding RNA (ACHI_LNC004077)
Source: RNAcentral